This 326-nucleotide ribosomal RNA is filed under the name uncultured eukaryote. RNAcentral's name for it is "partial 18S ribosomal RNA". It matches the Rfam family "Eukaryotic small subunit ribosomal RNA", at positions 1470 to 1796 of the family's 1831-position model. The record is from RNAcentral.
CCCUUAGAUGUUCUGGGCCGCACGCGCGCUACACUGAUGCAUUCAACGAGUCCAACCUUGACCGAGAGGUCCGGGUAAUCUUUGAAACUGCAUCGUGAUGGGGCUAGAUUAUUGCAAUUAUUAAUCUUCAACGAGGAAUGCCUAGUAAGCGUGAUUCAUCAAAUCGCGUUGAUUACGUCCCUGCCCUUUGUACACACCGCCCGUCGCUCCUACCGAUUGAGUGUGUUGGUGAGGAGUUUGGAUUGGCCUCGGAAGGUGGUUCGCCACCGUCCGUAGCUGAGAAGUUCUCCAAACCGCCCCACUUAGAGGAAGGGGAAGUCGUAACA